Long non-coding RNA from Mus musculus (house mouse), 692 nucleotides. RefSeq annotates it as predicted gene, 34067. NCBI's taxonomy places the organism in Eukaryota, Metazoa, Chordata, Mammalia, Rodentia, Muridae. The record is from RefSeq and is a predicted model, not a curated record. The transcript is spliced from 2 exons.
UGUUAUUUGCCACUGGGAAAAUGUCUCCUAAGAUGUUGUUUGCGGUUCUGAUAAAUCGAUGUCUUCUAAAUGAAGUGCUGUCCAGGCUGGCUGUUAUGAAUUCUGCUGGAGCAGCCCAUUGCAUUUUGGCAAGAGCAUCCACUUGGGACACCAAGUGGGCGGAACAGUAGUGCCAUGGACUGCGAAGGAAGAAGAGUAUGAAGAAGAGCGGCUGCUGGCUUCCUAGGCCCGUCCUCCAGCUUCUGGAACUUCAAGGGAUUUGACUUGAUUACAGGAAGUCCCAGCAAUUGCAAAAAGAUGAAAUUGUUGUCACCAUCCUACACACUGCCACUGAAUUCUUUUCUGAACACCAGUCCUGCUACUAACCCCCCAGUGUUUGCAGACUCUCUGGCAUGCAGUCUCUGUUUUGAGACCUUCAAGGAGGAACUGUGCACAGUGAAUCUUUGUGUUCCCAGAACUUACACCACUUGUGCAUAAGAGCCGGCCUGAUGCUGAAGGCCAUCUUCAUGUUAUAAAGUUGCUAGGUUCAGAGCUGGGGCCAUGGCAGCCCUAAGUAGUCAGACUCAGCCAUCAACUUCAGUGGGCUAGUUAGGCAACUAAAACAGCAAAAAACACACAGAGAAAAAGUGAGCCAGAGAGAAGGGGGUGGGGAAAGGGAGAGAGAGAGAGGGAGUGAGGGGGAGAAGAGGAAG